AGUGAACGCUGGCGGUAGGCCUAACACAUGCAAGUCGAACGGCAGCACAGUAAGAGCUUGCUCUUACGGGUGGCGAGUGGUGGACGGGUGAGGAAUACAUCGGAAUCUACUUUUUCGUGGGGGAUAACGUAGGGAAACUUACGCUAAUACCGCAUACGACCUACGGGUGAAAGCAGGGGAUCUUCGGACCUUGCGCGAUUGAAUGAGCCGAUGUCGGAUUAGCUAGUUGGCGGGGUAAAGGCCCACCAAGGCGACGAUCCGUAGCUGGUCUGAGAGGAUGAUCAGCCACACUGGAGCUGAGACACGGUCCAGACUCCUACGGGAGGCAGCAGUGGGGAAUAUUGGACAAUGGGCGCAAGCCUGAUCCAGCCAUACCGCGUGGGUGAAGAAGGCCUUCGGGUUGUAAAGCCCUUUUGUUGGGAAAGAAAAGCAGCAGGUUAAUACCCCGCUGUUCUGACGGUACCCAAAGAAUAAGCACCGGCUAACUUCGUG
Molecule: ribosomal RNA, 492 nt
Filed under: uncultured bacterium
Lineage: Bacteria
Description: partial 16S ribosomal RNA
Rfam family: Bacterial small subunit ribosomal RNA
Source: RNAcentral